AUGCCUUACACAUGCAAGUCGAACGGCAGCACGGACUUCGGUCUGGUGGCGAGUGGCGAACGGGUGAGUAAUAUAUCGGAACGUGCCCUAGAGUGGGGGAUAACUAGUCGAAAGAUUAGCUAAUACCGCAUACGAUCUAUGGAUGAAAGUGGGGGAUCGCAAGACCUCAUGCUCGUGGAGCGGCCGAUAUCUGAUUAGCUAGUUGGUGGGGUAAAAGCCUACCAAGGCAUCGAUCAGUAGCUGGUCUGAGAGGACGACCAGCCACACUGGGACUGAGACACGGCCCAGACUCCUACGGGAGGCAGCAGUGGGGAAUUUUGGACAAUGGGGGCAACCCUGAUCCAGCAAUGCCGCGUGAGUGAAGAAGGCCUUCGGGUUGUAAAGCUCUUUUGUCAGGGAAGAAACGGUUCUGGCUAAUAUCCGGAGCUAAUGACGGUACCUGAAGAAUAAGCACCGGCUAACUACGUGCCAGCAGCCGCGGUAAUACGUAGGGUGCGAGCGUUAAUCGGAAUUACUGGGCGUAAAGCGUGCGCAGGCGGUUGUGCAAGACAGAUGUGAAAUCCCCGGGCUCAACCUGGGAAUUGCAUUUGUGACUGUACC
RNAcentral lists this ribosomal RNA (600 nucleotides) under beta proteobacterium BPSI-2. RNAcentral describes it as "bacterial SSU rRNA". It matches the Rfam family "Bacterial small subunit ribosomal RNA", at positions 44 to 639 of the family's 1533-position model. The record is from RNAcentral. Lineage: Bacteria; Pseudomonadati; Pseudomonadota; Betaproteobacteria.